Molecule: non-coding RNA, 21 nt
Filed under: Coscinodon cribrosus
Lineage: Eukaryota; Viridiplantae; Streptophyta; Bryopsida; Grimmiales; Grimmiaceae
Also listed under: 2 other names
Source: RNAcentral
AGGUAUUCUUGAGACAAAGCC